CCUACGGGGGGCUGCAGUGGGGAAUAUUGGACAAUGGGCGCAAGCCUGAUCCAGCAAUACCGCGUGUGUGAAGAAGGCCUGAGGGUUGUAAAGCACUUUCAAUGGGAAGGAACACCUAUCGGUUAAUACCCGGUAGACUGACAUUACCCAUACAAGAAGCACCGGCUAACUCCGUGCCAGCAGCCGCGGUAAUACGGAGGGUGCAAGCGUUAAUCGGAAUUACUGGGCGUAAAGCGUGCGUAGGCGGUUUUUUAAGUCAGAUGUGAAAGCCCUGGGCUUAACCUGGGAACUGCAUUUGAUACUGGGGAACUAGAGUUGAGUAGAGGAGAGUGGAAUUUCAGGUGUAGCGGUGAAAUGCGUAGAGAUCUGAAGGAACACCAGUGGCGAAGGCGGCUCUCUGGACUCAAACUGACGCUGAGGUACGAAAGCGUGGGUAGCAAACAGGAUUAGAUACCCCGGUAGUC
Molecule: ribosomal RNA, 464 nt
Filed under: uncultured Methylomonas sp.
Lineage: Bacteria; Pseudomonadati; Pseudomonadota; Gammaproteobacteria; Methylococcales; Methylococcaceae
Description: bacterial SSU rRNA
Rfam family: Bacterial small subunit ribosomal RNA
Source: RNAcentral